This 429-nucleotide ribosomal RNA is filed under the name Bacteroidota bacterium. RNAcentral describes it as "Bacteroidetes bacterium partial 16S ribosomal RNA". It matches the Rfam family "Bacterial small subunit ribosomal RNA", at positions 355 to 776 of the family's 1533-position model. Lineage: Bacteria; Pseudomonadati; Bacteroidota. The record is from RNAcentral.
UAGGGAAUCUUCCGCAAAGGACGCAAGUCUGACGGAGCAACGCCGCGUGAGUGAAGAAGGAUUUCGAUUCGUAAAACUCUGUUGUUAGAGAAGAACAGCGCAUAGAGUAACUGUUAUGCGUGUGACGGUAUCUAACCAGAAAGCCACGGCUAACUACGUGCCAGCAGCCGCGGUAAUACGUAGGUGGCAAGCGUUGUCCGGAUUUAUUGGGCGUAAAGCGAGCGCAGGCGGUCAAUUAAGUCUGAUGUGAAAGCCCCCGGCUCAACCGGAGAGGGUCAUUGGAAACUGGUUGACUUGAGUGCAGAAGAGGAGAGUGGAAUUCCAUGUGUAGCGGUGAAAUGCGUAGAUAUAUGGAGGAACACCAGUGGCGAAGGCGACUCUCUGGUCUGUAACUGACGCUGAGGUUCGAAAGCGUGGGUAGCAAACAGG